Long non-coding RNA from Triticum aestivum (bread wheat), 756 nucleotides. RefSeq lists it as uncharacterized. The record is from RefSeq and is a predicted model, not a curated record. The transcript has 2 exons. Lineage: Eukaryota; Viridiplantae; Streptophyta; Magnoliopsida; Poales; Poaceae.
AACAUGCAGUGAUCACUUGUCACAAUCUUAACAUACCUCCAAAGGGCACCGCUUAAUCAGUGAUUUCGAAUAAACGGGCCGUGCAGGGUCGCUGCGUGUGCCUUGCCUCGCCCAGAGGGCACAACUGCUCGCGGGCUCGCGGCCCGGCCUGUUUGGCCACCUAUAUGCCGUAUCCCGACGGCAACCAGCGUGUUCGCACGAAUCUGCUAGAGCAGUUGUGCCCGGAGCCAGAACCCUCGUGCUCCUCCGGCGGCGACGGGCGGCGGAGGUGUGGAACUCGUCACAGCGCACAGGCACCAGAGCAUUCACAUCUGAAGGCCCACAUCUUGGAAAACAAACUUUUUUUGAGAAGCUUCAUCCCUUGGUCAUCACAAACUUGUACAGUUCAAAUAACAAGAUUAGUGCCUCUGCUGCGUCUAUUGUUUUAGUUGGUUCAAGUGAGGAACUUGGGAUUAUCAGUAACUGUUCAUGAGGAGUUUUCGUUUGGACAGUCUGACCAUUGCUAGUCCAAUGUUUCGUCAAAGGUUUAUUGCUGAUGGAAUUGAAACUUUGGUCAGGAUAGGUAUCCCAGUUAACGCUGCUAUCUCCUUGUGGUAGAACUGUUUGUUCUUUGGUCGGAACCUGAUCUUAUUCAUUAUAGGUGUACUUGUUGGAGGAAAUUUUGCCGUCAAGCAAAUGUUUCCCUUGCUUAGGAUUCUUGUUAUAAUCUCAUGUAUCGACUAGCAAUCCAGAUGAGUAAUCCAGAGUCGCAACAUA